GACAAACGCUGGCGGCAUGCCUAACACAUGCAAGUCGAACGGACAGAACAGGGAAGCUUUUCGGAGUGGAACUGGAAAGUUAGUGGCGGAUGGGUGAGUAACGCGUGGACAACCUACCUUGUAAAGGGGAAUAACCUCGAGAAAUCGAAGCUAAUACCCCAUAAUAACCUUGCUUCGCAUGAAGUAAGGAGGAAAGGCGGCCUUAGCGCUGUCGAUACAAGAUGGGUCCGCGUCUGAUUAGCUAGUUGGUGAGGUAAAGGCUCACCAAGGCGACGAUCAGUAGCCGGCCUGAGAGGGUGAACGGCCACAUUGGGACUGAGACACGGCCCAAACUCCUACGGGAGGCAGCAGUGGGGAAUCUUCCGCAAUGGGUGAAAGCCUGACGGAGCAAUGCCGCGUGAGUGAAGAAGGCCUUCGGGUUGUAAAACUCUGUCCUUAUCGAAGAGAGAGUGUUGUAGUAACUGACAAUACUAGGACGGUAGAUGAGGAGGAAGCCCCGGCUAACUAUGUGCCAGCAGCCGCGGUAAAACAUAGGGGGCAAGCGUUGUCCGGAAUCACUGGGCGUAAAGGGCGCGCAGGCGGUAAAUUAAGUCAGGUGUGAAAGUUCGGGGCUCAACCCCGUGAUUGCACCUGAUACUGAUAAACUAGAGUGUUGGAGAGGUAAGUGGAAUUCCUAGUGCAGCGGUGGAAUGCGUAGAUAUUAGGAGGAACACCAGUGGCGAAGGCGACUUACUGGCCAAUAACUGACGCUGAGGCGCGAAAGCGUGGGGAGCAAACAGG
This 780-nucleotide ribosomal RNA is filed under the name uncultured Peptococcus sp. Its description in RNAcentral is "bacterial SSU rRNA". It matches the Rfam family "Bacterial small subunit ribosomal RNA", at positions 28 to 776 of the family's 1533-position model. The record is from RNAcentral. Lineage: Bacteria; Bacillati; Bacillota; Clostridia; Eubacteriales; Peptococcaceae.